GACGAACGCUGGCGGCGUGCUUAACACAUGCCAGUCGAACGAUGAACCCGGAGCUUGCUCUGGGGGAUUAGUGGCGAACGGGUGAGUAGCACGUGAGUAACCUGCCCUGGACUCUGGGAUAAGCGUUGGAAACGACGUCUAAUACCGGAUAGGACCUUGGAUCGCAUGAUCUGGGGUGGAAAGUUUUUUCGGUCUGGGAUGGACUCGCGGCCUAUCAGCUUGUUGGUGAGGUAAUGGCUCACCAAGGCGUCGACGGGUAGCCGGCCUGAGAGGGUGACCGGCCGCAAUGGGACUGAGACAAGGCCCAGACUCCUACGGGAGGCAGCAGUGGGGAAGAUUGCAGAAUGGGCGAAAGACUGAUGCAGCAACGCCGCGUGCGGGAUGACGGCCUUCGGGUUGUAAACAGCUUUUAGUAGGGAAGAAGGGCUUCGGCUGGACGGUACCUGCAGAAAAAGGACCGGCUAACUACGG
RNAcentral lists this ribosomal RNA (471 nucleotides) under uncultured bacterium. RNAcentral's name for it is "partial 16S ribosomal RNA". It matches the Rfam family "Bacterial small subunit ribosomal RNA", at positions 28 to 506 of the family's 1533-position model. The record is from RNAcentral.